CCCCGCACACCCCAAAAAAAAUCAACACACACACCCUAGCCGAUUAGAAGCACCUGUGUUUCCAAAAUGGUCGCUGCAGUCAGCGAGGACGCCACACAAUGGGCCCAAACCAAACCAUUUUGCAUCUGUGUGGAACUAAAAGCCACUAGAGUGAAUAUAAUUUGAAAAACCAAAACAGUUAAAGGGAUUCCAGUCUGGAGGAUGACUUCUGUGGCCAAUCUCUCUGCAGGUUGCUGUCGCGCUGGAAUCAUCCAGAACCUCCGUCAAACGCCAGACAAAGCCGAGCGCUGUCGCAAGUCCACCUUGCGACGACACGACAGUAAUUCCAAGCAAUAUACUGUGACUUUGUGCAAAAUGCAGUUCUUGAGCAGAGCAACACGGUAUGCAUAAAAUUAGGGAGCUUUUCCUGCUCAUUGUAGUCCUCCGUCCAAAUCCUCAUAACUAAGACGCUUUGCAUACAGUUAGAAUAUUACUACAGAAGAUCUGUUCCAGGAUUUUUUUUUUUUUUUUUUUUUGUGUGAUGAGAGUUGAGAGACAAUAUUUAUCAGAGGCGUGAAGAAACAGCUCCACAGGCGUCAAACCCCAUCAGCAUUACCGCCGGCAUCAUCGUCACUUCAUCAAGCUCAUAAGACCAGUGAAUGAAUUCAAAGGAGGGGGGUUUGUCGUCUUCUCUUGGCGGUGUCAUUAGGAUGCAGCAGAGCCUGAAAUUGCACAUUUUACACCGCCAUCUCCAGCAAGGCGGAAAUUAUGGGCACAAAAGGAGUGAAUGCGGCGCCCUCGGUACGAUAACAACCGGGACUUUGAGGUGUUUAGAUGAAAUGCCGGUCGAUUCCGACCUGCGUCAGCCAUCAGAUGCGGCCGCUGGUGCUGUGAAAGGAACCUUCUUAGUAGAAAAGAGGCUGGAUCACAAAGUGGUAGACCAAGUGGAGUAAAACCACCUUUUUUUUUUCUUUUUCACAGCUUACUGAACCCCUUCAGACCUGAAAAAUGAACUACAGUGGUGCCUAGAGAUAUGAAUGACCAGAGGUACAAGCGCUCGCUUGGCCAUUUUAAAAGAAAAAUGUAUUUGUUUUCGCUUUGACUUGCAAGGGCUAAACGGUGGCACUGAACUCAACUCUGUUCUUGACAAGAGGAAGUUCGGAAGAUCGUAAACGAUUUUUCCAAAAAGUCAAGAUGCUCGUUGCCACGUUCAGUUGGAGUUUACUGUCAAACAAACUACGGGACAAAGAAAAUUACAGAUUGUUUACUUAAAACAACUACACAACUGCCUUAGUCUGCGAGCUCAAUGAUAACACAUUGUGGAAUGCCAUAAACAGGCGAACAAAUAGCGGGUGUGGUGGUGUUGCAGGCCUUCGAGCAAUCUAUUUGAAAACAAAAGGUGCAGUCACACGUGCAGACAGGAUAUUCCAAUAAUUAUGUGUAAUUUUUUUUUCAUCCCUUAGAAAAAAAAAAACAAUCAUUACUGCAGUUUACUGAGUCAGAGUAGUUGUGAAAUUUUUCGUCUGCAGGGAAAAAAUAUUUGUGGAUAUGUUUUGAGAUAAGAGCCUGGGCACGGAAUAGAUUAAAGUUGUAUCUCAAGGCACCACUGCCUUGGGCAAGUAGCCCACCAACAAAAUUAAAUAAAAUAGCCCUUAUAUUAAUAACUGGUGAACAUUUUAAAUACAGUAUUUAUGAAGUUUUUUUUCCUGGAAUUCUUCUACAAGAUUGAAAGGCAGCAACAAAAAAAGUCAUAUUUCAUUUCAUAAGCUCAAUACUUAUAUGGCAUGGAAAAAACAUGACUCAGCCGGGCUUUUACAAAGUGCAUUUUUAAAACAUCACAUUAGCGAUGAUGUCAGUCAAAGCCGAGUGAGACCAGGAGACAAAAGGAAACCACAGAAAUCCACCAAACGGGUAUCACAGUGCAGAAAUCAUACACAGGAUUUUGACUUGACUUAAAAUAAAAAAAUAAAAACAAAAAUUAAAAAAAAAUGGGUUGCAACUUGCACAUACACAGCUAAUCUACACAGAGCCUUAUUUUAAAAAUGAGUGGGAAAUAUGCUAAAAUAAAUACCUCAGUAAAUUCUUUACCAAAGAUUGAUUGUCACUUCUUUCUAACCGGCAACAAAGUAAAUGACAAUGAGUAUUGCAUGGGUACAUAUUUCCAUGACACGGUUGUCUUCUAAAGCGCUUGAAAGUUGUUUCUUUCUUUCUUUUUUUUAAAAUAUAUAUAUAUAUAUUUACUGUACUUUGCCCCUUCUCCUUCUGUUAUUAUUAUUCACCUCUUUAGACAGAAAAUAUGUGCGUUUGUCAUCAAAAGAUGAAUAUGAAAAAAAGAUCCAGCUUUUAUUUGCAUUUUUAGAUUAAAAGUAUUGGAACUGAUAGUGACUCGGAUUUUAUUUGCGAUUCCUCCACGUGAUCAUUGAAAUAAUCAAACGUUUGCAUUCUACCUUUCGUAGUACGCUUCCAGGCUACUUUCUCUCCAGUCUCCUCUUUAUCAGGUAAAAUGCAUGUUUGAUGGGAUUUAAGUCGGGAGAUUGACUUCAUUUAGGACUUUUACUUGCUGUAUGAUGAAAGAUCUCACAGUCAGUUUGGUUGUCUUUCUUAAAAUUGGCGUACAAAAUGUUUCUGAGGAGUUUUGAUUCGUCGCAAACAUCGUUACUGCAAUGUGAAGUAGUGGGAUUUUCCCGCAAGGAACCGGGUUAUUACCUCACAUGAGUUGUAGCAGACGAGCUUGUAUCGUUACGAUCAUGAGCCGAUCCUUUCUUUUCUCCAAUAUUUUCCGUUCUCUGAUAAAGGUUCAUCUUAGGCUCAUCAACUCGUACAUUUUUUUUCUGUUUCUGUACUUUUUUGGGGCAAAUUCCAGACGGUUCUUCCUAUUCUGAAAGGAUAUAUCCCUUCUACCAAUAGGUCAUGUAAUAUGUACUUUAUUUUGAAAAUGUGAUGUUAAAUCCUCUCUCAUUUAAUAUUGUUUUGAGAAGAUUUUUAUCCACAACUAUGAAUUUUCAGGGGCGCUGCUAUUUUCGCGAGUCACCUGACUUACGUGCACAGAUGUGACGUGUAAGGUGCGCACCAAAGGCUCGAUUACAUUAUGCCCAGCGCUGAUUUCUCGGAUUUAUCCUCAUCUGAUGAAGAAAUAGCAGUAUCGGUUGAUCGGGAAGACGGAGGAAUACUUCCAUACGGAUUUGAACCUGUGGCUGUAAUUAAUGUUAAAAUUUCGGAUGGUUCUUUGGGCGGGUCUGAGUACUCGGAAGCCUUCGCGCGGGCCGGCAGUCGGGGAUGGUUAUAUGGACGGGAAUGACGCGGAGUCUGACGAGCGAGCUCCGGUGGCUGUCGCGAGCUGAGCUUCCAGGUGGCAGAGGCCGUUAGCCCCGGAUGGCGAAGCUAGGCUAAAGGCCUCCGCUGCCACCGAAGGCGGGCCACGAGCUCUGGCGGCGGGCUGGGAGCCGAGCAUCGGUGGUGGUGGAGGCCUUUGGCCUAGCUUGGGCGUCCGUGGCUAAUGAAGCAGGCGGCGCCGGGCCACAAGCCAAGCUUCCGGGCGGCGGAGGCAAGUAGCCCCGGACACCGAAUCUCGGCUAAAGGCCUCCGCCACCACCGAAGCUCGGCUAAAGGCCUCCGCCACCUGAAAACUUGGAUCGCGGCCCGCCGCCGGAGCGUCAGUCUCUGCGUCAUUCCUGUCCAAAGAACCAGAUCAUGUGACUUGCGAAAAUGGCAGCGCCCUUGAAAAUUUGUAAUUGUCGAUUAAUAAUCUUCUCAAAACAUUAUUAAAUAAGGGAGGAUUUAACAUCACUCAUAUAUUACAUGACUUGGAUACAUUGUUUAUGCAAAGCACUGGAUUUCCCUUUUUAAGUUGUGUUCUGAAUCCAGAUGCAAAUACCUGGAAAUAAAAGCUGAACAGUUGCACUCUCGUCAUGUUAAUCUUCUGAAUUGAAGCACCAACAUGUUCAGUCUACUGUAAAAAUAAUAAAGAAAUUGGCCUCACUGUUCAAAUUUUUGGGAGGACAGCAUAUUUAUUUUGUAUCCUUUUUUUUUUUUUUUUUUCCUGCACAUUAAGCUUCUGCUGGCUUCUCAGGCCUGUGACGUUGACCAUCAGCGAAAUAGCAAAGCAGUUUUGUUUGUAUUAUCACAGGAAAGACAUGACACACUAGACUUGUGAAUGAGAAAUGAUAAUGAAAUAUUAAGAAAAAACAGAAUAAUUAAAAAAAAAAUCUAAAGUCCUCUCAAAUGACUGGAAUGGGAAGGUAAAUUCCUUUGUUUUUGUUGUACUAUAGUGAAGCCAUUUGGAUUUCAGAUUAAAAGAUGAAUAUGAGACAAAAUUUCAGAAUUCCAGCUUUUAUUUCACGGUAUUUACAUGUAGAUGUGUUAAACGACUCAGGCCACCCACUUUUCAAGUAAGCAAACGUAUUGGAACAGAUUUUGUAUGUUUCUGGGGGUUUCUCCUUUCAAUCUCUUCAGAAGGCAAAAUGCAUGCUCUAUUGGAUUAAGGUCGGAUGAUUGACUCGGGUGGUCUAAGACUGUCUACUUUUUCCUCCUGAUGAAGUCCUUAGCUGUGUUAGCAGUGUGUUUUUGGUCUCUGUCUUGUUACAUGAUGAAGCAUCUCCUGAUUUGUUUGGAUACAUUUUUAUGUAAAUUUCCAGACAAAAUGGUCUGCUACCAUCAUGAGUUAUAUCACCAAUCAAACCUAGUGAGGCCAUUCCAGAAGCAGCCAUGCCUUUACCUCCAGCAUGUUGUUUUGGAUCACAAGCAGAUAAUUUCUUUCUCCAUACUUUGGGCUUUCCAUCAUUUUGGUAGAGAGGUUAAACUCAACCCACUCAGUCCUGAAAACUUUGUUGGAUCAUCUCUGUACUUGGCAAAAAUCCAAUCUGGCCUUUUGAUUCUUUUUGCUGGUGAGUUGUUUGCAUCUUGUGGUACGACCCGUUGACUGUAUAUAUUCUCUCCAAGUCUUAAAUUAGGGUACUUUCCCCCCUGCCUUGUGGAGUUUGGCAGUGACAUCACUGACUCUCGGGUGUCUCUUCACGGCUCUCACAAUAUUUCUCUCAGCAACUGCUGUUGAUACCCUUGGCCGAGCUGCUCGAUGUCUUUUGCACGGUACGCCAGUAGUUCCUCUCUUUUUCAGGACAUUCCAAAUUAUUUGUUCAAAGGCUGUGGUCAAUAUUCUUCUCCCGACUUCAAAACUAUUUGCUUUUCUUUCAUAGACAGCUCUGCGGUCUUCACGUUUGCUUAAUGACAAAUGCAGUUUUCACAGGUGGAAGCCACAGGCAAAAACGAGCCCGACAAAUAUUUAAGUAAUCAUUCUAUGAUGCAACACUUGAGCAACUAGUAACACCCGUCAGUCGUACGUGUAAAUACUUUUGCUAGUUUGAAAGUCGGGUGGCUUCAAACAAAAUGUGCUCUCCUGUGUUAACACAUCUGGGUGUAAAUAAUAGCUGGAAUUCUGAACUUUUAUUUCAUAUUCAUCAUUUCAUUGAUUUUUUUAAACUCGUUUCUUUCGUAUCCAGCAAAACAAAGGAGCUGACUUUGCCGUUCCAAUACUUUGGGAGGGACCUGCUAAAAUUUGUAUGUACACUAUUCCAGAGCUUUAAAAGUGAAUGAUUACUUGGUAAGUUUUCGUGGCACGUGACCAGACUGGUGUUGCUGGUAUAUUGUAACUGUGGACAUGUGUGGAUUGAGGGUAUAAAAAUUCUACACACCCCUGAGCACAUGUCAGGUUAUUGUGAGAAAAGUGAGCGUGAGAUGAAUUCAUUAUAUAUGUGUGUGUGUAUUUAUGUAUGUGUGUUUGUAUAUAUAUGUCAUGUCAUUAUCCAAGCCACUUAUCCUCACAAGGGUUGCGGGAAAGCCGGAGCCUAUCCCAGCUAGCGUCGGGCGAAAGGUGGACUGCACCCUGAACUGGUCGCCAGUCAGUCACAGGGCAGAUAUCGACACCAUCACUGAGCGGGAAUCGAUUCCACCCUGCCUGCGCCAAAGUCAGGCGUGUGUACCACUACACAAUCAGUUCUCUAUCUAUCUAUCUAUCUAUCUAGCUAUCUAUCUAUCUAUCUAUCUAUCUAUCUAUCUAUCUAUCUAUCUAUCUAUCUAUCUAUCUAUCUAUCUAUCUAUCUAUCUAUCUAUCUAUCUAUCUAU
This is an RNA transcript of Syngnathoides biaculeatus (alligator pipefish), 6096 nucleotides long. It is a transcript of the gene named guanine nucleotide binding protein (G protein), gamma transducing activity polypeptide 1, with no coding region annotated. The record is from RefSeq and is a predicted model, not a curated record. Lineage: Eukaryota; Metazoa; Chordata; Actinopteri; Syngnathiformes; Syngnathidae. The transcript has 2 exons.